This is a long non-coding RNA of Dermochelys coriacea (leatherback sea turtle), 389 nucleotides long. RefSeq lists it as uncharacterized. The record is from RefSeq and is a predicted model, not a curated record. NCBI's taxonomy places the organism in Eukaryota, Metazoa, Chordata, Testudines, Dermochelyidae. The transcript has 3 exons.
GCAGGAGCAGGAGCAGGAGCAUUAUCAGACACCAGGAGGAAGGUCCUGUGCAACUGCCUGUAUACAUAUGAGCAAGGAAACAGUCGUGCAUCAGCAACAUAUUUUUGUUCCUGAAAAUCAAGAAGUCCACAGUGAAAUGGUGAUGACAGCACUAAACAAAAAUUCUGGAGGGAAGACAGGCUGGAUGGAUGAGAUGGUUUGCUGGAGCAUCAUACAAUUUUGGUUAAAACAAUUCCCUUCUGAAGCCGGGAAGAGCAGCUUCUGCAUGGAAAAAAGUGGAAUUAAUACAGUUUAAUAUUAUUAAAUAUUAAUUUAAUUAUUAUUAAAUUAUAUUAUUAAUAUAAUAUUAAUACAGUUUGUAGUCCUACUGAAUAUGCCUCUGAGUCAAU